AUAGAAUAAAGCUGUUGCGCUUAUAUAAGUUCAUAAUCGGUUGAGCGUUUCUACCAACUACCAUAAUAGUUGACUAUAAGGGUUAAAAGGAAAAAG
This is a regulatory RNA element of 96 nucleotides. It matches the Rfam family "Purine riboswitch aptamer". Rfam says of the family: Riboswitches are metabolite binding domains within certain messenger RNAs that serve as precision sensors for their corresponding targets. The record is from Rfam.